CCUUUCAAAAGGAAAAUAGGUAUACGAAAUUUUUUGUUUCGUGUUUAAAAGGGAAGUUUGGUGAAAUUCCAACGCGGUCCCGCCACUGUAAGUGCAGAGACUUCUUUUUCUAUACCACUGUGAAAACGGGAAGGUGAAAGAAAUCAUAUGAAGCAUGAGCCAGGAGACCUGCCUAUUUUAACAACACUGA
This 190-nucleotide non-coding RNA is filed under the name Bacillus gaemokensis. The record is from RNAcentral. Lineage: Bacteria; Bacillati; Bacillota; Bacilli; Caryophanales; Bacillaceae.